CCGAGUUUACAACUUCCCAAACCCCUGUGAACAUACCUAUCGUUUUGCCUCGGCGGAUCACCCCGGCGCCCUCGGGAACGGGACGGCGCCCGCCGAGGACCCUAAACUCUGUUUCUAUAUGUAACUUCUGAGUAAAAGCCAUAAUAAUAAUUC
RNAcentral lists this unclassified non-coding RNA (153 nucleotides) under soil metagenome. RNAcentral describes it as "partial internal transcribed spacer 1". The record is from RNAcentral.